RNAcentral lists this ribosomal RNA (799 nucleotides) under uncultured archaeon. Its description in RNAcentral is "bacterial SSU rRNA". It matches the Rfam family "Archaeal small subunit ribosomal RNA", at positions 534 to 1342 of the family's 1478-position model. The record is from RNAcentral.
UUAGUCCCUGAUUAAUCCACGAAUUAAUCGUUGGAUCGCGGGGGAUACUGCUUGGCUAGGGGACGAGAGAGGCAGACGGUAUUUCCGGGGUAGGGGUGAAAUCCUAUAAUCCCGGGAAGACCACCAGUGGCGAAGGCUGUCUGCUAGAACGCGCCCGACGGUGAGGGAUGAAAGCUGGGGGAGCGAACCGGAUUAGAUACCCGGGUAGUCCCAGCUGUAAACGAUGCAGGCUAGGUGUUUGGACGGCCACGUGCCGUUCUAGUGCCGCAGGGAAGCUGUUAAGCCUGCCGCCUGGGGAGUACGAUCGCAAGAUUGAAACUUAAAGGAAUUGGCGGGGGAGCACCACAAGGGGUGAAGCUUGCGGUUUAAUUGGAGUCAACGCCGGAAAUCUCACCGGGAGCGACAGCAGUGUGAAGGCCAGAUUAAAGGUCUUGCCAGACGAGCUGAGAGGAGGUGCAUGGCCGUCGCCAGUUCGUGCCGUGAGGUGUCCUGUUAAGUCAGGCAACGAUCGAGACCCGCGUCCUCUGUUGCUACUAGCCUUGUGCUGGGCACACUGAGGAGACCGCCACUGAUAAAGUGGAGGAAGGAGCGGGCCACGGCAGGUCAGUAUGCCCCGAAUCUCCCGGGCCACACGCGAGCUGCAAUGGCAAGUACAAUGAGUUCCAACCUCGAAAGGGGGAGGCAAUCUCGAAAGCCUGCCGUAGUUGGGAUCGAAGGCUGCCACCCGCCUUCGUGAACAUGCAAUCCCUAGUAAUCGCGUGGCAUCCGCGCGCGGUGAAUACGUCCCUGCUCCUUGCAC